RNAcentral lists this ribosomal RNA (400 nucleotides) under phytoplankton environmental sample. Its description in RNAcentral is "partial small subunit ribosomal RNA". It matches the Rfam family "Eukaryotic small subunit ribosomal RNA", at positions 587 to 990 of the family's 1831-position model. The record is from RNAcentral.
AGCUCCAAUAGCAUAUACCAAUUCUGUUGCUGUUAAAAAGCUCGUAGUUGGAUCUUUUCCGAGGGUGAGGUCUGUCUCACGGACAUGUACUUUAUCCCGAGGAUAUAUCAGCUGGUUUUCCUCUGGUGCCUUUAACAGGGUGCCUUGGGUGGCUAGCACGUUUACUUUGAAAAAAUUAGAGUGCUCAAAACAGGCGUUACUGCCCGAAUAGUGGUGCAUGGAAUAAUGGAAUAGGAUCUCGGUUCUAUUUUGUUGGUUUUAGGAGCGCGAGAUAAUGAUUAAGAGGGACGGACGGGGGCAUUCGUAUUGUGGCGUUAGAGGUGAAAUUCUUGGAUCGCCGCAAGACGAACAAUUGCGAAAGCAUUUGCCAAGAAUGUUUUCAUUAAUCAAGAACGAAAGU